This 473-nucleotide ribosomal RNA is filed under the name uncultured bacterium. Its description in RNAcentral is "bacterial SSU rRNA". It matches the Rfam family "Bacterial small subunit ribosomal RNA", at positions 355 to 825 of the family's 1533-position model. The record is from RNAcentral.
UGGGGAAUAUUGCGCAAUGGGGGAAACCCUGACGCAGCAACGCCGCGUGAGUGACGAAGGCCUUCGGGUCGUAAAGCUCUGUCGGAGGGGAAGAAACUACCAAUGGCUAACAUCCAUAGGUAUUGACGGUACCCUCAAAGGAAGCACCGGCUAACUCCGUGCCAGCAGCCGCGGUAAUACAGAGGCCACGAACGUUGUUCGGAAUCACUGGGCAUAAAGCGCACGUAGGCGGCUAGGUCCGUCCAAUGUGAAAGCCCCCGGCUCAACCGGGGAAUUGCAUCGGAUACAGCCUGGCUUGAGGACGGUUGGGGUGAGUGGAACUCCUGGUGGAGCGGUGAAAUGCGUAGAUAUCAGGAGGAACACCGGUGGCGAAAGCGGCUCACUGGACCGUAACUGACGCUGAGGUGCGAAAGCUAGGGGAGCAAACGGGAUUAGAUACCCCUGUAGUCCCUGAGCGGGCUGGCAAGGCGCAU